UCUUAAAAGGCAUUUUGUUAUCUAAAAGUUUAAAAGUAAGAACACAGAAAAAGAAUAUGUGAUGCUCUUAUGCUUAUAGCUAAGUAGUUAGGAUGCAAUUAACCACUUAAAUGCAUAAUGGAACUAAAACACUUAAGAAAGAAUGAAACUAGGAGUAGAAAAAGACAAUCCUAGACUUAAAGUAUCAAGGAUCCGAUUAAUCCCUAUGGAUAUAACCAAAAUGUUAUGCCUGAUUAUUCUACCCCAAUGGCGGCUGCUUUUUAUGACUUACUUAAGUUUUUGUGAUGCAGACACUAAUGCAGAAUAUUGAAUACAAUACUGUAAAAAAAAUAAGGGAGUCAGACACCUUUUUGAAAUUUGAUCUAGUGGUUGAUCGGCCUUGCUUGGAUUGAUACUUAAUCCUCAAAUUUGCUACUUCAAGAAUUUGUUUUGCUCUUUUUCUUUCUUUUUUUUUCAUCCUUUUUUUCUUGCUCUUUUUUUUUUUUUGCUAUAACAACAAUAAUAAAGAAAUUCCUUGAAAAGAAACUAGAGGAACAAGUACUGAUUUUUAUGCAAAAAG
Molecule: long non-coding RNA, 559 nt
Filed under: Carica papaya (papaya)
Lineage: Eukaryota; Viridiplantae; Streptophyta; Magnoliopsida; Brassicales; Caricaceae
Description: long non-coding RNA (CPAP_LNC013561)
Source: RNAcentral